CGCGGGGUGGAGCAGCACGGUAGCUCGUCGGGCUCAUAACCCGAAGGUCGCAGGUUCAAAUCCUAUCCCCGCAACCA
RNAcentral lists this transfer RNA (77 nucleotides) under Bacillus anthracis (anthrax bacterium). RNAcentral describes it as "tRNA-fMet (CAT) (tRNA-fMet-CAT-4-1)". It matches the Rfam family "tRNA". Rfam says of the family: Transfer RNA (tRNA) molecules are approximately 80 nucleotides in length. Their secondary structure includes four short double-helical elements and three loops (D, anti-codon, and T loops). The record is from RNAcentral. RNAcentral also lists the same sequence under 3 other names. Lineage: Bacteria; Bacillati; Bacillota; Bacilli; Caryophanales; Bacillaceae.